This is a non-coding RNA of Pristionchus pacificus, 72 nucleotides long. NCBI's taxonomy places the organism in Eukaryota, Metazoa, Nematoda, Chromadorea, Rhabditida, Neodiplogasteridae. The record is from Rfam.
GCCGGCUUGGCUUAGAGGCAGAGCGUCGCUCUCGUAAAGCGAAGGUCGCAGGUUCGAUUCCUGCAGUCGGCA